This 240-nucleotide ribosomal RNA is filed under the name uncultured bacterium. RNAcentral's name for it is "partial 16S ribosomal RNA". It matches the Rfam family "Bacterial small subunit ribosomal RNA", at positions 524 to 764 of the family's 1533-position model. The record is from RNAcentral.
UACGAAAGGGGCUAGCGUUGUUCGGAAUUAUUGGGCGUAAAGCGCACGUAGGCGGCAUUGCAAGUCGGAUGUGAAAUCUUAUGGCUUAACCAUAAAAGUGCAUCCGAAACUGCAGUGCUUGAGUACUUAAGAGGAUCGCGGAAUUCCCGUGUAGAGGUGAAAUCGUAGAUAUCGGGAGGAACACCAGUGGCGAAGGCGGCGAUCUGGGAAGAGUACUGACGCUGAGGUGCGAAAGCGUGG